Long non-coding RNA from Chiroxiphia lanceolata (lance-tailed manakin), 595 nucleotides. RefSeq lists it as uncharacterized. The transcript has 3 exons. The record is from RefSeq and is a predicted model, not a curated record. NCBI's taxonomy places the organism in Eukaryota, Metazoa, Chordata, Aves, Passeriformes, Pipridae.
GCAGAGGAAUCUCUGGAUGCCUGAUUGCAGCUGACAGAAUCAGUGGAAAAUAAAUUGCCAGACAGCCUAAGGCAUUCUGUUUGUGUACCUGGCACUGGAGGACAAAAUGGUGAUGCCAGCCAAGGUGUGUGUGCCACCAGUGCAGUGGUGGGAGCAGUGUCUGUGCCCAGCAAUGAGAUGCCCUAUGUCUUGUGCCCACUCCAGGCAGAGGAUCUGCACAGGGACCCAUCCCAGGGCACAGUGUGGGACCAGAAGGAGAUUGGCAAGAGGUUGCACCGUGCUGUGCAUGGGACUGCAGCACCCUGACAACAGGUUUCAUCCCAGGUUUGAACCCAGCAGUGCUCCUUUCCUGUCCUAUGGUUUUGCUAUGAGAGGGGGAAGAAGUGCCUGGAGAAAAGAGCAACACCUGCACAUGCAGCUGGUGAGACCAGGCUGUGAAAAUGUCCUGUUUUCCCUUCCCACCCUGCAGUGAUGGACUCCACAGGUGGACUGAAGCCCCGGGAAAUGUGGGAGGUGUCGACACAUGGUUUGUGCACCACCCCAUUCGCUGCAGGAACAGACGAUUGUAUCUCCCCAGAACAAAGAAGGACAAAGU